CAGUAAAUAUUUUAUAAUAAAAUUUUAAUUUUGGAGAUUAAUGAAGUGAUAAUCACUUUACUGA
Molecule: transfer RNA, 64 nt
Filed under: Cicadella viridis
Lineage: Eukaryota; Metazoa; Arthropoda; Insecta; Hemiptera; Cicadellidae
Description: tRNA-Pro
Source: RNAcentral